UCCACAUGGAUGCUGGCCCAUGUUGACUCUACAAGGUGUUGAAAGUGUUCCACAGGGAUGCUGGCCCAUGUUGACUCUACAAGGUGUUGAAAGUGUUCCACAGGGAUGCUGGCCCAUGUUGACUCUACAAGGUGUUGAAAGUGUUCCACAGGGAUGCUGGCCCAUGUUGACUCUACAAGGUGUUGAAAGCGUUCCACAGGGAUGCUGGCCCAUGUUGACUCUACAAGGUGUUGAAAGUGUUCCACAGGGAUGCUGGCCCAUGUUGACUCUACAAGGUGUCUAAAGCGUUCCACAGGGAUGCUGGCCCAUGUUGACUCUACAAGGUGUCGAAAGCGUUCCACAGGGAUGCUGGCCCAUGUUGACUCUACAAGGUGUCGAAAGCGUUCCACAGGGAUGCUGGCCCAUGUUGACUCUACAAGGUGUCGAAAGCGUUCCACAGGGAUGCUGGCCCAUGUUGACUCUACAAGGUGUCGAAAGCGUUCCACAGGGAUGCUGGCCCAUGUUGACUCUACAAGGUGUUGAAAGCGUUCCACAGGGAUGCUGGCCCAUGUUGACUCUACAAGGUGUCGAAAGCGUUCCACAGGGAUGCUGGCCCGUGUUGAAUCCAAUGCUUCCCACCGUUGUCAAGUUGGCCUGAUGUCCUCUGGGUAGUGGACCAUUCUUGAUAUACAGUGCAUCUACACAUUUUGUUACGUUAGAUUUAUUCUAAACUGGAUUAAACAUUCUGUACACAAUACCCCAUAAUGACAAAGUGAAAAAUAGUUUUUAGAAAAUUUAGCUAAUUUAAAAAAUAAAAAAUAAAGUAUUUACAUAAGUAUUCAGACCCUUUGCUAUGUGACUCGAAAUUGAGCUCAGGUACAUCCUGUUUCCAUUGAUCAUCCUUGAUGUUUUUACCACAGUACAUGUGGUAAAUUCAAUUGAUUGGUCAUGAUUUGGCAAGGCACACACACCUGUCUAUAUAAGGUCCCACAGUUGACAGUGCAUGUCAGAGCAAAAACCAAGCCAUGAGGUGGAAGGUAUUGUCCGUAGAGUGCCGAGACAGGAUUGUUUGAGGCACAGAUCUGGGGAAGGGUACCAAAACAUCUCUGCAGCAUUGAAGGUCCCAAGAACACAGUGGCCUUGGAACCACCAAGACUCUUCCUAGAGCUGGCUGCCCGGCCAAACUGAGCAAUGGGGGAGAAGGGCCUUGGUCAGGGAGGUGACCAAGAACCCGAUGGUCCCUCUGACAGAGCUCCAGAGUUCCUCCGUAGAGAUGGGAGAAGCUUCCAGAAGGACAACCAUCUCUGCAGCACUCCACCAAUCAGGCCUUUAUGGUAGAGUGGCCAGAUGGAAGCCACUCCUCAUUAAAAGGCACAUGACAGUCUGCUUGGAGUUUGCAAAAAGGCACCUCAAGGACUCUCAGACCAUGACAAACAAGAUUCCCUGGUCUGGUGGAACCAAAAUUGAAAUCCUUGGCCUGAAUGCCAAGGGUCACGUCUGGAGAAAACAUGGCACCAUCCCUACGGUGAAGCAUGGUGGUGGCAGCAUCAUGUCUGGAGGAAACUUGGCACCAUCCCUACGGUGAAGCAUGGUGUUGGCAGCAUCACGUCUGGAGAAAACAUGGCACCAUCCCUACGGUGAAGCAUGGUGUUGGCAGCAUCACGUCUGGAGAAAACAUGGCACCAUCACUACGGUGAAGCAUGGUGGUGGCAGCAUCACGUCUGGAGAAAACAUGGCAGCAUCACGUCUGGAGGAAACCUGGCACCAUCACUACGGUGAAGCAUGGUGGUGGCAGCAUCAUGUCUGGAGGAAACCUGGCACCAUCCCUACGGUGAAGCAUGGUGGUGGCAGCAUCAUGCUGUGGGGAUGACGCCCACAUCAUAGCUAAGAGUGUGCGACAGCUCAUUGCUCACUCUGACACACUGAGUUCUGCCUCCAAGGUAUUAUUUCAUCCAUCUCAAGGCAUCGGGGGAAAGUUGAACUUGGACAAUUAUGUGAUGAGAACCUGAUGGUUCACAGUAUCAAACGCCUUCCUUAGGUCCAGAAAACACAGCCCCAACAACGCCCCCUUUGUCCAUCUUGGACUUGACAUUUUCCUGAAGAAAGCAGUGUAUGUUGUUGUAUAUUAGUUAUAAUACCAAUGCAUUGAUUAUGUCAAUGUUUACAGGAAAGCAUCGUUCCCU
Molecule: long non-coding RNA, 2162 nt
Organism: Oncorhynchus keta (chum salmon)
Lineage: Eukaryota; Metazoa; Chordata; Actinopteri; Salmoniformes; Salmonidae
Exons: 3
Source: RefSeq, a predicted model, not a curated record